GCCCUCUAGUUAGGUUCCACCUGAGAGUUGUUUACUUUAACACCGCACCCAGUCUUCCAAUCUCUGUAUCCUGUCUCGGCCCUGUCUCCUAGUCUCCUAGUCUAAUAUUCCCCCGCUAUUUAAGAGCUUUGGGCCCUUGGAAUCUUACAAGAGAGGCCGAGGAGAGAAGAUCUAUCUUCUGAAGCUGCUUUUUGCUGGAAGGGUUUUAGCACAGGAAUUGCAUUGCUGGGGCUUGCCUGCAUUUGGGAUUCUGCACUCUAAGGAGAAUUUUCUGUCUGCCCUCAUACAACCAGAAUACUUUGAAAGAAAAUGAUUCCACGCUUAGUUCUACAGUUCUGGAAGCUGCUGGUAGCUAUUUUACUACCACAAGGGGAGCUCCUGACCAAGAUCAGAACAAGCACCAAAGAAGCUAAUUUGAAAAGAGAGGAAGGAAGACCAAAGAGAGAGAUUAAGGAAGUGGGGGAGCAGGGAGAGAACCAAAGAGGAGAAAGAGAAAGACAGAGAGAAUGAAACUAAGUCCUGAACACAUACUUUUAACCUUGGGUAAAUUCAUUCUCUGAUCUCUUCAAGAUCUAAUAAAUUUUCUGUUAUGAUUUGA
This is a long non-coding RNA of Lemur catta (Ring-tailed lemur), 598 nucleotides long. RefSeq lists it as uncharacterized. The transcript has 4 exons. The record is from RefSeq and is a predicted model, not a curated record. NCBI's taxonomy places the organism in Eukaryota, Metazoa, Chordata, Mammalia, Primates, Lemuridae.